This 254-nucleotide ribosomal RNA is filed under the name uncultured Vexilliferidae. RNAcentral's name for it is "partial Bacterial large subunit ribosomal RNA". It matches the Rfam family "Bacterial large subunit ribosomal RNA", at positions 1407 to 1663 of the family's 2925-position model. Lineage: Eukaryota; Discosea; Flabellinia; Dactylopodida; Vexilliferidae. The record is from RNAcentral.
AGGCGUAGUCGAUGGGAAACGGGUCAAUAUUCCCGUACCGGACAUGGUUGCGAUGGGGGGACGAAGAAGGCUAGGUGAGCCAGGCGUUGGUAGUCCUGGUGAAAGUGAGUAGGCCGAGACCUUAGGUAAAUCCGGGGUCUUAAAGCCGAGACACGAGACGAACUGACCACGGUCAGGAAGUCACUGAUGCCACGCUUCCAGGAAAAGCCUCUAAGCUUCAGAUCAUGUGCGACCGUACCCCAAACCGACACAGG